GCCUAAUACAUGCAAGUCGAGCGAACGGACGAGAAGCUUGCUUCUCUGAUGUUAGCGGCGGACGGGUGAGUAACACGUGGAUAACCUACCUAUAAGACUGGGAUAACUUCGGGAAACCGGAGCUAAUACCGGAUAAUAUUUUGAACCGCAUGGUUCAAAAGUGAAAGACGGUCUUGCUGUCACUUAUAGAUGGAUCCGCGCUGCAUUAGCUAGUUGGUAAGGUAACGGCUUACCAAGGCAACGAUGCAUAGCCGACCUGAGAGGGUGAUCGGCCACACUGGAACUGAGACACGGUCCAGACUCCUACGGGAGGCAGCAGUAGGGAAUCUUCCGCAAUGGGCGAAAGCCUGACGGAGCAACGCCGCGUGAGUGAUGAAGGUCUUCGGAUCGUAAAACUCUGUUAUUAGGGAAGAACAUAUGUGUAAGUAACUGUGCACAUCUUGACGGUACCUAAUCAGAAAGCCACGGCUAACUACGUGCCAGCAGCCGCGGUAAUACGUAGGUGGCAAGCGUUAUCCGGAAUUAUUGGGCGUAAAGCGCGCGUAGGCGGUUUUUUAAGUCUGAUGUGAAAGCCCACGGCUCAACCGUGGAGGGUCAUUGGAAACUGGAAAACUUGAGUGCAGAAGAGGAAAGUGGAAUUCCAUGUGUAGCGGUGAAAUGCGCAGAGAUAUGGAGGAACACCAGUGGCGAAGGCGACUUUCUGGUCUGUAACUGACGCUGAUGUGCGAAAGCGUGGGGAUCAAACAGGAUUAGAUACCCUGGUAGUCCACGCCGUAAACGAUGAGUGCUAAGUGUUAGGGGGUUUCCGCCCCUUAGUGCUGCAGCUAACGCAUUAAGCACUCCGCCUGGGGAGUACGACCGCAAGGUUGAAACUCAAAGGAAUUGACGGGGACCCGCACAAGCGGUGGAGCAUGUG
Molecule: ribosomal RNA, 916 nt
Filed under: Escherichia coli
Lineage: Bacteria; Pseudomonadati; Pseudomonadota; Gammaproteobacteria; Enterobacterales; Enterobacteriaceae
Description: bacterial SSU rRNA
Rfam family: Bacterial small subunit ribosomal RNA
Source: RNAcentral